GUAGUUAGCCGGGGCUUUCUAAUGGGGUACCGUCAUUUUUUCGUCCCCCACAACAGAGGUUUACAAUCCGAAAACCUUCUUCCCUCACGCGGCGUUGCUGGGUCAGGCUUGCGCCCAUUGCCCAAUAUUCCCCACUGCUGCCUCCCGUAGGAGUCUGGACCGUGUCUCAGUUCCAGUGUGGCCGAUCAGCCUCUCAGCUCGGCUACCCAUCGCAGGCUUGGUGGGCUGUUAUCUCACCAACUACCUAAUGGGACGCGAACCCCUCCUUCAGCGGAUUGCUCCUUUGACCUCAUCCCGAUGCCGGGUCGUGGUCUUAUGCGGUAUUAGCACUUGUUUCCAGGUGUUAUCCCCCUCUGAAGGUCAGGUUGUUCACGCGUUACUCACCCGUUCGCCACUAAAAUUUAUCUUCCAUCCGAAAACUUCUGAUAAAUCUCCGUUCGACUUGCAUGUGUUAGGCACGCCGCCAGCGUUCGUCCUGAGCACGAAUACGACCUACGA
Molecule: ribosomal RNA, 498 nt
Filed under: uncultured bacterium
Lineage: Bacteria
Description: partial 16S ribosomal RNA
Source: RNAcentral